AGGAGAGGGACGUUGUCAGUCACAGUCAGUGUCAACUGUCAAGUGACAAAAUUAUCUUUUAAUCUUGACUCUUAGAGUGGGUAUGGUGAAGGGCGAGUUUUCCUUCUCCUUUCAUAUGUUCCAUUUGACGUAUAACGGUAUGAAAAAACAAAACACCCUCAUUAUGUGGCAAUAAUGGGAAACAAUAAAUAAAGAAAGAAAUAAUAACGGUUUUAGAUUUCCAGUGUAGGUUGUGUUGCGGAGAGUGAUGGACUGACAGUUGACUGAUAAAUUGACCCCUUGGAGAUACAUGCACAUUGACAUGGGUCGGGCGAGAUGUCAGCAACAACUCCUAUUAUUUUUCCUUUGGGUGUACGAUAAUAUUAGGCAAAAUACGAUAAUUCUGGUGGUUCGAUACGACAAUGUGGGCUAGAAAAGUUAACAUCACUGGUGUUGUGGCGCUGGCGGCUGCCCGACCCAGUACACCCUUGGCCUCGCGCCGGAAAGGACACAUGAUGCGGGAGGGGGCGCUUGUGGGGGCCAGUAAAGCAAUGCACAGACCGCACUGGUUUACUGUAGGGCAAGUAAUGUGAAACAAGUGAAUAAAUAAACAAAUAAUAGUAAGUUAUCUUGAUUUGGGUGAGUCAUGUAAGUGACAUGUGACUUGUGUGUUUGCCCUGUUCAUUUUCAGUUUAGUUGAGAUCAAAUUUUUCAUUCUCGACUAUUCCUGUCUUUAGCAAUACAAUAACUUAACUGCAA
Long non-coding RNA from Portunus trituberculatus (swimming crab), 738 nucleotides. RefSeq lists it as uncharacterized. The record is from RefSeq and is a predicted model, not a curated record. The transcript is spliced from 2 exons. NCBI's taxonomy places the organism in Eukaryota, Metazoa, Arthropoda, Malacostraca, Decapoda, Portunidae.